UACAGAGGGUGCGAGCGUUAAUCGGAAUUACUGGGCGUAAAGCGUGCGUAGACGGUUAUUUAAGUCGGGUGUGAAAGCCCCGGGCUCAACCUGGGAAUUGCAUUCGAGACUGAAUAGCUAGGGUACGGUAGAGGGAAGCGGAAUUUCCGGUGUAGCGGUGAAAUGCGUAGAUAUCGUCCAGAACACCGAUAGCGAAGGCAGCAUACUAAGGAGUAACUGACGCUGAGGCACGAAAGUGUGGGGAUCAAACAGG
Molecule: ribosomal RNA, 253 nt
Filed under: uncultured bacterium
Lineage: Bacteria
Description: partial 16S ribosomal RNA
Rfam family: Bacterial small subunit ribosomal RNA
Source: RNAcentral